UACGGGUGGGGCAAGCGUUGUUCGGAAUUACUGGGCGUAAAGGGCUCGUAGGCGGCCAACUAAGUCGGAUGUGAAAUCCCCAGGCUCAACCUGGGAACUGCAUCCGAUACUGGAUGGCUUGAAUUCGGGAGAGGGAUGCAGAAUUCCAGGUGUAGCGGUGAAAUGCGUAGAUAUCUGGAGGAAUACCGGUGGCGAAGGCGGCAUCCUGGACCGACAUUGACGCUGAUGAGCGAAAGCUAGGGGAGCAAACGGG
RNAcentral lists this ribosomal RNA (253 nucleotides) under uncultured bacterium. RNAcentral's name for it is "partial 16S ribosomal RNA". It matches the Rfam family "Bacterial small subunit ribosomal RNA", at positions 524 to 776 of the family's 1533-position model. The record is from RNAcentral.